RNAcentral lists this ribosomal RNA (254 nucleotides) under uncultured bacterium. Its description in RNAcentral is "partial 16S ribosomal RNA". It matches the Rfam family "Bacterial small subunit ribosomal RNA", at positions 524 to 776 of the family's 1533-position model. The record is from RNAcentral.
UACGUAGGGGGCAAGCGUUGUCCGGAUUUAUUGGGCGUAAAGAGCGUGUAGGCGGCCACACAGGUCUGCUGUGAAAACUCGAGGCUCAACCUCGAGCUGUCGGUGGAAACCGUGUGGCUAGAGUCCGGAAGAGGAGAGUGGAAUUCCCGGUGUAGCGGUGAAAUGCGCAGAUAUCGGGAAGAACACCCGUGGCGAAGGCGGCUCUCUGGGACGGUACUGACGCUGAGACGCGAAAGCGUGGGGGAGCGAACAGG